Molecule: long non-coding RNA, 1972 nt
Filed under: Olea europaea subsp. europaea
Lineage: Eukaryota; Viridiplantae; Streptophyta; Magnoliopsida; Lamiales; Oleaceae
Source: RNAcentral
ACCAUUGCCAAGGAAUUGAGAAGGCAUUAGAAGCACUCCAAUCCAAGAUGUAAAGCUGCAUUCUCGGAUUGCACAAUUGACAUCAAUGGCUGAAGGUAUAUUCGAUCCAUUUAAUUUCUGCAAUUGAUCUAUGUGCUAUUUAAAUUUUAUAUUGCAUGACUAGAUCAUAAGUAUAUAGUCUAACAACAAGAAUUUCAGCAUUUGGGGAAGAAGCAACAAAAUGGAUAGGAUAAAUCUCCCAAAAUUUUGCCAGGCAAUUCAUCUCUAGCAUUUCUUGUUUGUUACAGCCUUACUGGCAUGAAAUUCUUCAACUGUAAAUAAAACAUUAUAACAAUUUAAAAAUGUAAUGUAAUUGUAAGUAUUUUGACAACGAUUAUAGCAUAUUGGAAAGGUGAGUUGCAUAGUAUUGACUGAAUUAAAGAAGAAUGUUUUACUGUCCAUUAGUGUACACCUAACAUGAACAAAUUGUAUUGCUAAUACACAUUAAAUAAUUAUAUCCUUGUACCAUCCUCCUUAAAUUCUAUUAACUUAUCUUUAGUAUUGAACUCUUAGCCAAUUAAAAGAUUCCAUAUUCACCGUUUCUGGAUAGAAAUCAAUGGCCCAGAUCAAGAAAAUCCAAAAAACGCCAAGCAAAUUUAGGGAUUUUAGUUUAAAUCAAGAUUUGUUUCUGAAUUUAGAUCAUCUUUUGGAAGGAAGGAUCAGAACGAUUAGUGUAUACAAGUGAUAAUACAAUGCAUAAACAAAACAAGAAAAUAAAAUGAGCCUUAUUAAAGAGUUUUCAAAUGAAAAUCUUAACUGACCUUUGAGUAAGGAUGGAGAAGAAGCGAUUUGUGAAAAUGAGAUUUGAGCAGCAGCUGGCGUGCAAAUCAGCACAUGUGCUUUAUUUUUAUUUUUAUUAUUAUUUUUUUAAACAUUGUGAGAGUUCAGAAAUGAGCACGCACGUUUGAACAAAAUCAUAAGUUGGUCCUUAUAGUCCAUGUUCGGUUUCCUUCGCAUCUCAUUAGGUCAUUAGAGCAGGGUGAGUGAUAAAUUCAAUUUUGCUCACAGUUCCAGUUCAAUAACCAAGACCCUUCGAAUCCCCGUCGAUUUUUGAUUCUCAAUUCUAGUUCCUAUCUGUUUUUUUUUUUUUUUUUUUUAACCGAACCAAAACCUUCGGCUCCAAUUAAAAUAUCCACUCCUAAUUUAUAGCCAUAUAAUGGCCAAGUUCCGUCAUGGAGAGAAGUCUCCGUACGACGGUUCUGUGCACACAUAAUAAUAUCGUCCAUUCAUAUCACAAUACCCGAGACCUUGAGUCACUUAAAUCACGACACCUUGACAUCGCAUAUCACUUUGUUUCUCUUUCUUAUCAUCUCGAACACCAAGGUGGCGCAAUUUGAAUGGCUCUAUGUCUAAUGCACCGUGACUUAAAUGGAUGGUACUAUAAAAUGUGCUUUUAGGACCAUCUUGUUAAAGUUUUUCUCUCAUUAUGGCCCCGAAGACACUCUUUCAAGUGUAGUAAUAGUCAUUUGUCAAAAAACAUAUAGCUGGCAAAUAGAAUUUCCAAUUGUAUUAAGUAGGGAAAUUGAUGCCGACAAAUAAAGCACAUAAUCUUAGUUUUCUGUGAAAUUGUAUGACAUCAUGUUCACUGGUCCGUCGUCACGGUUAAGCAAAAUUAGGAGGUUGCUAAAUUAUGUUCAAAACUACAUCAGGAGAACUUGGAUCUAAUUGGGGGUCCUAACUUUUGAGAGAAAUAGAGAGAAUAUAUAUUGAAGAACGAAGAUCCGGAUUUGAAGGUAUUAAUUGAAGAUUUUCAGAUUUUCUUCAUAGUUUAAUGAUUCGGGUGACGAUUUUUUUUAGUUCUCUUGUAUUUUUUACAUUAAUAUGCUAGACUAAAAUUCUUUGUAUUGGAUGGAUGACAAAACUCUUUGAUUCUUAGUUUUUAAUUCGAGACUUUGUGUUUUUAUCUUAAUUCUUGUGUUAUGAUUCCAUUAAU